CCUGAUUGCCGCCCAGAGCCCCAGACCCAAGAGCUAGUUCUAGAAGUACAGGAAUCUUAGGGGAUCGUGCAUCGUCUGUUUCCUUGUGUCUUGUAAGAAUUGUUCUUUAACUCCGCCUUUGGCAAAUCGCCAUUGCCGGUCCCCAGCCCGGAUCAAAGGAGGAGGGAAGGAUUGUUUAAGAUAUAUAACCAUUAUUUGGAUCAUUUCUUCUCAUUUUGUAUUUUCAUGGUUGGGAUCACAAGUGAACGCAAUUGAUCUAAACAAUUUACAAGCUAACCAUAAAAUUUUGAAGUAUUUGUUGAUCACACAAGUCUAAAGUAUAUAAAUUUAGAGUUAGGGUUAGUUGUCAAUCAUGAAAAAGACUGCAGAAUAUCUUUUAGAGCUGAUAUAUUUAAAAAAAAAUGUGGUUCACAAUUAGAAAAGAAUAUUAUAUAUGCAUAUUUGAGAGACAACCAUCCUGAGACCCAAACUAAAGUACUAAGAAGGAUAGCUACAUAAAAGAAAGUCGAUAUAGUGAGAAACCAUAAUAUCAAUCCCAUCGCAUUUUAUUUAUUUUCUUAUUCAUUUGUAAUUUAGGGCAUUGUCUUUCAUUAUUUUUAAUGAAAACUUUUAAUAUUUGCAAAACACACACACACAAACGAGCUAUUGAUGAUGGAUUUCUUCUAAAGAGUCCACAUACACACACACACAAUUCAUUCUAAAGAGUUUAUUUGUAUAAAAAAAUAGUACAAGAAAGAGG
This 739-nucleotide long non-coding RNA is filed under the name Zostera marina. Its description in RNAcentral is "long non-coding RNA (ZMAR_LNC001877)". The record is from RNAcentral. Lineage: Eukaryota; Viridiplantae; Streptophyta; Magnoliopsida; Alismatales; Zosteraceae.